Molecule: unclassified non-coding RNA, 627 nt
Filed under: Bombus terrestris (buff-tailed bumblebee)
Lineage: Eukaryota; Metazoa; Arthropoda; Insecta; Hymenoptera; Apidae
Description: misc RNA ENSBTSG00005033934.1
Source: RNAcentral
AUAAAUAAAUAAUAGAAGAUUAAUAAAUUCAAUUAUAAUGAUCCUAAUGGGUUGAUGGAGUGGAGAAAUUUAAAUGAAGAGAAAAUAUGUACAGAGUGUCUCAACUAAGUGGGUUCGCCUAAAUAUCUGUCUUCUAUAUCGUCGCAUGAACUUCUCGCGACAAGACAAGUUCGGUUUAAAGUAAAACAAACUUCUUAAGACAAAGUUACACCAUUUCACUGGACACGUGUAACGGUGGAAAGACUUUUUCUCAUAAUAUAAUUCAAGCUUGCUCAAAAUAUAACUUCACAAAAUAAAAUAUGCCUAGUACAAUAGCGUUCGAGAAGAAGUCUUUGUAUUUUUGUAUCUUCUCUGGAUUUCUAUUGAAAAAAACGCCAUUGAGAUUGCGGAAAUUUGCUCAGCAUCAGAGGAAGACGUUGCAAUUAAUAAAAUCUGCAAAUCUCGAAGGGUCGCAAGUUAUUUGGCUAUUAUAAAUAUAAAUGGAGGUCGCGAUUGAAAAUAGUCGGGAUAUACCGUUGUGCAAGAAAGAAAAUGGGAAAGAAAGAAAAUCGGGUUAAAAUAGAAAUCGAAAAGCAAUGACGAGGGAGAAAAAAGUAAUGUUGAAAAAGUCAAGAAGAUUAACCAGAG